UUUCACUAAGCAUUUAGGCACUGAAGCCCAUACAAAGUCAGACAAUGAAAUCAAAAGAUUAGACUGUCACUGGAUGAACAUCCUUUGGAGCUUAGUGGAGUUUAUGAAGUAAGAAGAGCUCUUGUCUGUAUACUGUCUGCCUUGUUUGCUGCAGACUUCCCUUGAUUGAAGGACUACUUUAUCGAAAUGGAAAGGAAGACUUCACAACUGAGGAUAAUGAAUAUGGUUUCCUGAAAGCUAAAUUCUACCUAUGCCUUUGUGUUUUUGUGAUGACAGAAUCUUUACAGAGGAAAAGAGCCUAUGCUUGUGUUUGUAGGAGCUACUGCACACAUGUAGACAAACAGUGCUCAUGCAGAGCUGAUUUGCUCAGAACAAAAUAAAGAAAUUCAGGAAUAAUUGUAAAAAUAAAAUGGCCAUAAGAAGUGCAAAAGCUCAGAAGAUGGGGCAACCUCAUGCAUAGUCCAGAUGUAGCGGUGCUCAAAGAGUAAUCCUAAAGAUCCAAAACUCAUUACUGUUUCAAAUCCAGGUGUUCAGAAGAAAAAUUGAGAAAACAUGUCUUCAAAUUGAGUUCUUUUUUUUU
Nothoprocta perdicaria is the source of this 580-nucleotide long non-coding RNA. RefSeq lists it as uncharacterized. The transcript has 4 exons. The record is from RefSeq and is a predicted model, not a curated record. Lineage: Eukaryota; Metazoa; Chordata; Aves; Tinamiformes; Tinamidae.